CAAAGAAAAUGGAAAAUUGGACAAAAGACACUUAACCCUGUUUGUGUUGUUCUGACAUUGGGUGAGGGACGUUUUCUUUCUAGGAGACAUUUGUGAACAAGUUGCAGAUUUUCCUUCAUCCCGUGGAGACUAUAAGACGUCAAUUCAAAACUUGUCACAAUGAAAGGCAGGCCAACCCGAUAUUAUUGAGAACUAUUAGAAAAAUAUGCACGAUGCCAAGAAUAUAUAAGAAAGAGUAAGUUGGAAAGUCAAUCAUCUGAAUAAAGAUAUGAAAGAGAGAUAAGAAAUCAUGACAAAUGUCACACACGUUGAAAUAAUUUGCCUUCUCCAUUCUUCAGUC
Long non-coding RNA from Limulus polyphemus (Atlantic horseshoe crab), 340 nucleotides. RefSeq lists it as uncharacterized. The record is from RefSeq and is a predicted model, not a curated record. NCBI's taxonomy places the organism in Eukaryota, Metazoa, Arthropoda, Merostomata, Xiphosura, Limulidae. The transcript has 3 exons.